UCCAUUCAUUUUUUUUCUAUUUUCUUUUUCUAUUUUUAUUUUCUUUUUCUGCCAACUUCUGAAAUAUUACAAACAUAAUUAUUCAACCCCACACAAUUCCAAACGGGACUCUUUCAACCCUUUGAAUAAGGUGAUAACAUUAUUUUUCACUUCUCGUCUUGUAAUGAGUUUUAAACAAAAAAAGGGAUAAUAUACUCAAGGGGGUUUCAAACAAGGGAUAAUAUUAUUUCAGGGUUGACUUUUUG
This 245-nucleotide long non-coding RNA is filed under the name Lathyrus oleraceus (garden pea). RNAcentral describes it as "Pisum sativum (pea) long non-coding RNA (PSAT_LNC034660)". The record is from RNAcentral. Lineage: Eukaryota; Viridiplantae; Streptophyta; Magnoliopsida; Fabales; Fabaceae.